CGUGAGCAACCUGCCCCAGGCUUUGGGAUAACCCCGGGAAACCGGGGCUAAUACCGAAUAUUACCUCUGAUCGCAUGGUUGGUGGUGGAAAGUUUUUCGGCUUGGGAUGGGCUCGCGGCCUAUCAGCUUGUUGGUGGGGUGAUGGCCUACCAAGGCGACGACGGGUAGCCGGCCUGAGAGGGCGACCGGCCACACUGGGACUGAGACACGGCCCAGACUCCUACGGGAGGCAGCAGUGGGGAAUAUUGCACAAUGGGCGGAAGCCUGAUGCAGCGACGCCGCGUGAGGGAUGACGGCCUUCGGGUUGUAAACCUCUUUCAGCAGGGACGAAGCGUAAGUGACGGUACCUGCAGAAGAAGCGCCGGCCAACUACGUGCCAGCAGCCGCGGUAAGACGUAGGGCGCGAGCGUUGUCCGGAUUUAUUGGGCGUAAAGAGCUCGUAGGCGGCUUGUCGCGUCGACCGUGAAAACCUGGGGCUCAACUCCAGGCCUGCGGUCGAUACGGGCAGGCUAGAGUUCGGUAGGGGAGACUGGAAUUCCUGGUGUAGCGGUGAAAUGCGCAGAUAUCAGGAGGAACACC
RNAcentral lists this ribosomal RNA (579 nucleotides) under Micromonospora sp. KK1-10. RNAcentral describes it as "bacterial SSU rRNA". It matches the Rfam family "Bacterial small subunit ribosomal RNA", at positions 116 to 710 of the family's 1533-position model. Lineage: Bacteria; Bacillati; Actinomycetota; Actinomycetes; Micromonosporales; Micromonosporaceae. The record is from RNAcentral.